RNAcentral lists this unclassified non-coding RNA (1764 nucleotides) under Hevea brasiliensis (rubber tree). Lineage: Eukaryota; Viridiplantae; Streptophyta; Magnoliopsida; Malpighiales; Euphorbiaceae. The record is from RNAcentral.
CACCAAUUCUAACCAUCCAUAUUUUUUUUUGAUACAAGCGUGUGAUUGAAUUAAUCUAUAAAAAAAAUAUGGAUGGUUAGAAUUGGUGAUGAAUCAAGCUAAUGAAUCAUUGUCAUGGCUGGAUGAUUGGCUUUUAUCAUGUUCAUCCUUUAAUGUCCCAUCCUCUUCUUCAAUGUCAUCAGCACUGUUGACAUUUCUUGUGAGCUCCUUAGCCCUGAGGGCUUGCCGUUCCCAAUCGGUGCGAGACAAAACGAACAUCAUGGUCACCACGCAUGAGCCUUGGGCGGCCAAGAGACCAAGCCAAAGUCCUUUAAAAUCAAAGCCAGCAUAGAAACUUAACCAAAUAGCAACGGGCAUACCCACAAGGUAAAAACAUCCCAAGUUAAUAUUUGCGCCCAUUUUAGGCCUGGCUGUUCCCCUCAGAACACCGCAACCUGUCGUUUGCGGGCAAUUUCCAAGCUCACAAAGCCCGAUUAUAGGCAAAACCAUUGAGGUCAAUGCAAUAAUCUCUGCAUCUUCUGUGAACAUGUUGGCCCAAACCUUCCUCACAAUUACCGCGAAAAACAAUGCGGAAAAUCCCAAGGCGAAGCUUGAAGACAGACCAGUUAUAGCAGCACGCUUCGCAUUUUGGGGAUUAUUGGCACCCAAUUCAUUGCCAACUCUGGUUGACACGCCAAAGCUUAAAGAAGAUGGGAAAAUGUAUAUCAAAGCCGUGGUUUGAAUCAAUAUUCCCAUCGAAGCAACUGUUGCUCUUGGAUUCAAUAACAGCCCGCAUAGCAAAAUCAUAAUCUCAUACCACCACCAUUCAAGGCAAACCGAGAUGCAACUUGGAAUUGCCAAAUUCAAUAAAGAUUUCCACCCUCUUAAGCACUCCAAUGAAAUCCCACCCCAUGUUUUCUUGUGCAUGCCAGAGAGGAUAACGUAGAUGAUCAGUGAAGUUACGAGAUUAAAGUUGGUCCAAAUCCCACUUAGUGCAACACCUUUGAUUCCGAGAUUGAGUACAGACACGAGAAAAUAGUUAAUGGGUAUAUGGCAAAGAAUGGAUAUAGCUGCACAGUAUGUUAGAGGCAGAGUAAUUGAUUGAGUUCUAAGGUAGAUACGCAAAGGGUGUAAAAGGGAUUGCAAGAUUAGGUCAGGGAGAGAAUAAAGAAUGUAUGUUUGUGCUUCUGUGGCUAUAUCAUCUUCUUGGCCACAAAAGAGAAGAAUCUUUUUCAUGUUGAACCAUGAAAAGGCUAUAGGAAAUGAAAUCAAGAUAAGCAAAAGAAUUGUUCUCUGCAUGGUGAGGCCAAGAAGUUUGUAUCUUUUGGCACCAAAAGCUUGGCCGCAGAUUGGUUCCAUUCCCAUUGCAAGGCCAGAGAGAAUAGAAUAACCGGUGAUGUUUGCAAAACCAAUCGCCAGAGAACCACCGGCUAAGGCAAGCUCCCCCAGGCGGCCAAGAAAGAGCAUGGAGAUCAUGGAGCGUGAAUAGAGUAGAAGACCAGUUAAUAUCAUGGGAAGAGCAAUAUUGGCUAUGCAUUUUGCUUCAUUAAUUGCUGGAGAAAGAAGGGUCUUUUCUGGAUUUUGCUUCUGUUGGUGACAUGUUGGAUUCUCGGGGACCAAAGGAGCUAGCACGUCAGGUAUGUCUAUUUUGGUUGAUGGUUCUAAAUGGCUUUUGCAAGAAUCAGGAGGCGAAGAUUUCUGGCACAUAGUUAUGAAAAUCUUCAGAGAGAGGGAGAGAGCGAGAGAGAAGAGGAGGGAGCGAGAGAGAAGAGGAGGGAGAUGUGG